RNAcentral lists this long non-coding RNA (544 nucleotides) under Dromaius novaehollandiae (emu). RNAcentral describes it as "lncRNA (ENSDNVG00000002462.1)". The record is from RNAcentral. Lineage: Eukaryota; Metazoa; Chordata; Aves; Casuariiformes; Dromaiidae.
UGCUGGAUCCCUCUCUUUUUCUGAAGGAAAGCAUCUUUCAAGCUGAACUAAGCCCCUGAGAUGGUUCCAUAAGGUGGAAGUCUCCUCCUGUGACUCAAUGCAUGCAAGUUUUCCUCAGUGUGUAGUCUCAGAUUCUCUGACCUGGCUUUCGGCACUUCUGAGAUGAGAUACUGAAAGGAUGUGAUAUUUUACGGUGCAUGCUGGAACCAUUGGCAGAAAUGUAAUUGACUCUUCCCAUGUGGCUGCCAUCACAAGCUCCUUUACAGAUGAAAGACAAGAAACAAAUCUUUCCAUCCACAAAACUGGAGACAGGACUAAUUUGCUGAUGUUGUACAAAGAAUUCUCUCUCUGGAUAUCUGGCUGAUGGGAUCAGAAGAACUCAAAGAUGGUAUUGGAUCAAAGGUCCAUUUAGGCAAGUAGUUCUCCAUUUAUUAUUGCUCAGGUCGUUCCUGCUUCCCUUUGGUUAUUGAGUGUUCCACCUCCCUUGCUAUUUACAUCUUUCUCCCUCUGUUCUUUAGAUUCCUGAGUCCUUCGGCACUCCUGG